AUCCAAUUUUCCUUUUCUAUUCAUUUUCAUUUUUUAUUUUAUUUUAUUUUUUUUUUUUCUUUUUUUCAUUGAUUUUAAGGUGUUGCAUGCACAUCUGUGCGUAUGUAUGUACGUAUAUAAGUUGCCCGUAUAUACGUGUAUAUACAUAAAUAUAUGUAUAUAUACACACGUGUAUGUAAAAUGCAUGCGCGUAUGUGUAAGUACGCGUAUAUAUAUGUGUAUGCGUAUAUAUGUGUGCGAAACACACAUACACGCGCGGCAAGGUACGCUUUUACAAUUCUUUUUUCUCUCUUCGUUUCAUUUCAUUUAUUAAAACACUCGGUCAUUUUAUAUAAAAUAUUUAAAUUUUAAUAUAAAUGAUUUUAAAAUCUUCAACUUUUCUAUAAUAUAUUCAUAUAAAAAAAUAUUAUACAUUAUAGUCCCCCUUCAUAAAACUUGUAUAAACAGAAAUCAUUAUAUCUCCAAAAAUAGCGGAGAAAUACAUAUUCAUUAACAGAAUCAUCGAAGUGAUUUUUAUUUUUAUGUUCAUUUUUUAAAUUAAAAUAUAUUUAUUUGAAUUUCUAUAUCUCUACGAAUUUUUUUUUUAAUCUAUUUUAUAUAAUUCUUUCAUAUUGAUUUUUUUUUUUUGACAUUUGGGAAUUGCUUUGUAAUAUGUUAUUAAACGAUUAUUGAUUUCUUGAUCUGAUCUGAUGAUAUGAACAUUUUUGUGAUCUUUGUAAAUGAAUUUGUAUUUAUGUAAUCUCGCUAUUUAUUUCUCAAAUAGGUAUCUCUAUUUUUUUUUUUUUACUUUUUUUUCAUCAACAAUAAAUAAAAUAUUUAACAAUUUUUAUUAAUAAAAAUAUAUCGAAAAAUAUUUUUAUAUAUUUGAUAUAAUUUUAUUUUUCAAUAUCUUGAAUUUUAAAAAUAUUAAUUUUGUUCUAAAUAUUUUUAAUCAAUACACGAGCCAAUGCAUCAUGAACAAUUUUCGCAUCAUUUCUAAAACAGUUUUUAAUUUCUUUUAAAAAGUUUCUUCGAAAUAAUGAGGAAUAAGAAAAAUUUCUUCUUUAAUAAAACUUCGCACGAUAUAUCAUUAUUAUUAUUCAAAUACUACUCUUACAACAACAAGCUAUGUAUACUUGUAGAAGUAAUGCAAGCUUGUGUAUAAAGCUUCAUCUUCAUUAUUACCAUUAUCAUCCUACAUACAUAUAUUAACAAAUGAUCUUUAUAUACCCAAUAUAGAAGAAAAAAAAAAAAAAACAAGCUACGAUGAUUCUGAACUUAAAUGCAUAAAACAACUUUUCUUUUAUGGAAGCUUAUCUACAACUGAAACGUCAAUACACAAUUUAUUAUGCACUCAGGAAUUAAGCAGCCUCAGAGUACCUUGUACGUGUGCUAUGCGUGUAAAUUGCAUGCAAGAAUUUACGCGACAGGAAUCUACUGUGUUAAAAAUGAUGUGUAAUUGUGUGCCAGUCUUGCUGUGAUAUACCAUAUUAUUAUUAACGUGUAUACGAUGGAUGAUAUAUAUCAUAAUGCAUCAUAUGUCUCUUGAUGUGCGUGUGCUGUUGAAUAUAAUGAGAUGUACAUGCACAAAUCUGUCUGUUUAUCUAUAUGUUCGUCUCUAUCUGCCGUGUACAUGACAGUCGAAGCUCUUUAAUUAAUAAGGAAAGAACUUCAAGAUAUUUAACAGUCAACUUGCACCUAUAUACAUAUAUAAAAUCUUAAACAUGCGAUAUAUUAAUAUUACAGACAUACAUAGGAAGGUUAAUCUAAAGUAUUUUGCAAAUUUGAGGCGAAUGUGCAUUUAUAUUAUACAAUUCUACUUUCUUUGGUUGGAAAAAAGGAAGAAAAACUAUAAGAAAGAUAGUCUUUAAAUCAAAGGAAGCUAAAAAUAAUUAAUAAUAAUCCUGGAGUUUCUAAAUGAAAAUUCUUAAAACGGUGAUUGAAAGACUAAUGUUAUAAAUAUUGAAUUUACAUUGUUUUAAAUAGAUUUAUCUCGCUGAAGAUUUUUAUGAUUCUUCACUCAUGACUCUGAUUAGUUUCCAGGUUGCUGAUCGCAUAAUUUUUUGGAGUUAUAAAAACAACUGGCCUCUAUCUCAAAAGUAUUUGCAUGCUGCAAUUGGCCAUUCAAUUCUAUGUCAAGCUUUUCAAGCUUUGUUCAUUACACGAAGGUUCGAGUUGCUUUGUGUAUCGUUCGAUCUUGAUGAUAUUGAGAAACAUUGAAGAAUCCUUAUGCGAUCAUGAUUUGCAAGUAUAAUCAAUCCAAUAUUAAUGCACGUAUCAAAAUCAAUUCUCAAUUCUUCAAGAGCCGAUAUUCCAAGUGAUUUUCGAUCCUAUUAAACACGAGCAGCUAGCACGAAGCCUCGUGUACUUCAGGAUUCUCUUCCCUUUUUAUAUACACAAACACUUAUAUAUAUAUAUAUAUAUCUGCAAAAAGACACAUUAAGAAGGCUCUUAACAACUGGGAACUUGACUAACAAGAACGAAGACCUCAGAAAAAAUAAUCUACAAUAACAGAUACAAAGAAACCAAUAGUAAUAAUAACAACAACAGAGACACAUAAGCCAGUAUAUCAGGAAUAAAAUACUGAUGUAAACGCAUUACAAAAAAAAAAAAAAAA
This 2596-nucleotide long non-coding RNA is filed under the name Apis florea (little honeybee). Its description in RNAcentral is "uncharacterized LOC105735315". The record is from RNAcentral. Lineage: Eukaryota; Metazoa; Arthropoda; Insecta; Hymenoptera; Apidae.